GGAUCCCCGAGUUCUAGACAGCAUGAUGCCUUUUAUGGUGAAUUAUUAUGGAAACCCUCACUCCAGGACUCAUGCCUAUGGAUGGGAGAGUGAAAAGGCAAUGGAGAAAGGUCGACAGGUAAUCUCUAUACGUCUGAUAUUUUAAUAUUUUAGAGAAUUCUACACUAUGGUAUACAAAGUCUAAUGUUUGGAAUGUCCUUUGAUCCAUACAAGUCAACAACUGCCUUAUAAUGCCCAGCUUUUAGAAGAAGCCAGUUGUCCCCAAAUGCCCAGCCUUCACCAGUAUUCAACCAUUGAUACAAAAUUGUCAUCAAAUGACCUGACAAAAUGUUGCCUUGGUUACCCACAUUUUUUUUAAAUUUAUUUUUUUUAAUGCAUUUCUCAUGAUGCUCAGCUGGCCAAAAAGCUCUCUCUUUAUAUGGUGAAUUGUUUCUCCUUUAAUAAAAUGUAUUGUUUCUUUACCUUCUUUCUGUUUGUAUUGUAUUGUAGUCUAUGUUUAGACUAUUCUAUAUGUUCUGCCAGCUGUUCAUGUGUUCAGAUACUUAAUAAACACACUAAAAAUGUCGCACCUUCUCUUCUACAGCAAGUUGCCUCUCUGAUUGGAGCAGAUUCUCGUGAAAUCAUUUUCACAAGUGGUGCAACAGAGUCAAAUAAUAUUGCAUUGAAGGUAA
This is a non-coding RNA of Pelobates cultripes (western spadefoot toad), 671 nucleotides long. Lineage: Eukaryota; Metazoa; Chordata; Amphibia; Anura; Pelobatidae. The record is from the annotation of a GenBank genome assembly.